This 400-nucleotide unclassified non-coding RNA is filed under the name Hevea brasiliensis (rubber tree). The record is from RNAcentral. Lineage: Eukaryota; Viridiplantae; Streptophyta; Magnoliopsida; Malpighiales; Euphorbiaceae.
AGUUCUGUAUAAUAAUACAAAAGGACAAAGCCUUGAGAUUUGUUUGGCCAUGGUGGCUUGUGGUAUCUCGGCACUACAUGAAUAUUAUUAUGCUUAACUCAAGUUUAGGGGCUCCGGGCCAGUGAUGGCAUCAUCAGUAAUAAAUUCCACUUAAUAUAGUUUUUGUCAUGCCUAAAUGGUGUCUGCUAUGCAAAUUUUGUUUGCUUUUUUGCUCUCAAUGUUUAGUUUCGGUUUUAAUAAUUCUUUAAGAGCUUGUACCAUGUAAUGUUGCACUUGUCCAUUAACAUCUCCUAGCUUAUUAAUGCAUAUACACGAUAAUUGUUUUAGAGAGAUUAUUCUACUACCUAUAUAUUUUCUAAUUAUUUUGUUUUCAAUUAAUAUCUUUGAUCUUUUAUUUUUU